CCUACGGGUGGCAGCAGUGAGGAAUAUUGGUCAAUGGGCGCGAGCCUGAACCAGCCAAGUAGCGUGAAGGAUGACUGCCCUACGGGUUUUAAACUUCUUUUAUAAAGGAAUACAGUGAGGCACGUGUGCCUUUUUGUAUGUACUUUAUGAAUAAGGAUCGGCUGACUCCGUGCCAGCAGCAGCGGUAAUACGAAGGAUUCGAGCGUUUUCCGGAUUUAUUGGGUUCAAAGUGAGCGUAGAUGGGUUGUUAAGUCAGUUGUGAAAGUUUGCGGUUCAACCGUAAAAUUGCAAUUGAUACUGGCAGUCUAGAGGACAGUUGAGGUAGGCGGAAUUCGUGGUGUAGCGGUGAAAUGCUUAGAUAUCACGAAGAACUCCGAUUGCGAAGGCAGCUUACUAAACUGCCACUGACAUUGAUGCUCGAAAGUGUGGGUAUCAAACAGGAUUAGAUACCCUUGUAGUC
RNAcentral lists this ribosomal RNA (460 nucleotides) under uncultured bacterium. RNAcentral describes it as "partial 16S ribosomal RNA". It matches the Rfam family "Bacterial small subunit ribosomal RNA", at positions 338 to 795 of the family's 1533-position model. The record is from RNAcentral.